This is a long non-coding RNA of Solanum lycopersicum (tomato), 747 nucleotides long. RefSeq lists it as uncharacterized. The record is from RefSeq and is a predicted model, not a curated record. NCBI's taxonomy places the organism in Eukaryota, Viridiplantae, Streptophyta, Magnoliopsida, Solanales, Solanaceae.
UUGUUCAAUGAAACGAUAAAUUGCCUGAUAUUAUUUUUGGUAAAUCAUAAUUAUUUAAUUAAUAUAAUAGGAUGAAAUGAGAACUACAAGAGGUGAAAUAAAAAUAUUGUUCAAGGAAAAUUGUUGUUUAGAAAGUCCGAAAGGAAAACAAAAAUGAGAAAAGGAUACACUCUUUUAUAGCAGAUCUAGAGUUAUAAUAAAAGUAUGGUUAUACUAUUGUACACACAAUAUGAUAUGUUUAUUGACACCCUAUUUGAUUUUAUUGUGCUUGUUCCCUGAUUUCUCUCCACGUGGCGAAAUACCAAACACAAGUAUAAAAAUAUUUCUCUCUAGAAAUUUCUAUUCAUGCUUUAAAUAAACAUGAUACCAACUGCCAUCAAAGAGCUCAUCUUCUAGAUUGUCUAGUUGUAGGUUCUAACUGUGCCUGUUGUUUGGCUUCUUUCAAUUUCAGACGCAGAUAACCAGAAUCAGCGCGCAGCGCAUCAUUGACCCAGUUGAGCACUCUGAAGUCACUUGGUGUGCCUCCUUGCAUUCUAGACGACAAUUCUUUAUUUGUUUUCUAGAUUAGUUCAUUAGGAUGUAUGAGGUCUAUCACAACAUCCAUCUCUGUUAUUAGAGGCUUCAUAGACCGAUAGACAGUUAGUAGUUCAGUUUUAGAGUUUGUUGUGCUUUUUAACUUCAUAUGUUUCAAUUAUUGAGACUUAAGUGCUUUUUGGAUAGAUUAUUAUAUUGAUUGUUCCUUUUAAA